UAAGACCAAAGUGCAACUAAGCUGUCAUAAGCUCAAGAUGUGCCUAAGACCCCCCUUAAAACGAUCUUAGCGUCUCUGAUCAAUUUAAUUCCACGAAAGCUAAGACACAAACUGGGAUUAGAUACCCCACUAUGCUUAGCCCUAAAUCUUGAUGCCCCCAUGUACUAGAGCAUCCGCCUGAGAACUACGAGCACAAACGCUUAAAACUCUAAGGACUUGGCGGUGCCCUAAACCCACCUAGAGGAGCCUGUUCUAUAAUCGAUAACCCACGUUACACCCGACCACCUCUUGCCAAAGCAGCCUACAUACCGCCGUCGCCAGCUCACCUCCUCUGAGAGUCCAACAGUGAGCACAAUAGCCGAAACCCGCUAAUAAGACAGGUCGAGGUAUAGCCUAUGGGGUGGAAGAAAUGGGCUACAUUUUCUAAAGUAGAAAAUUUACGGAAGGGGGCAUGAAACUGCCCCCCGAAGGCGGAUUUAGUAGUAAAGUGGGAUAAUAUAAGCCCUCUUUAAGACGGCCCUAGGGCACGUACAUACCGCCCGUCACCCUCC
Molecule: ribosomal RNA, 551 nt
Filed under: Calidris virgata (surfbird)
Lineage: Eukaryota; Metazoa; Chordata; Aves; Charadriiformes; Scolopacidae
Description: partial 12S ribosomal RNA
Rfam family: Bacterial small subunit ribosomal RNA
Source: RNAcentral